RNAcentral lists this ribosomal RNA (253 nucleotides) under uncultured bacterium. RNAcentral's name for it is "partial 16S ribosomal RNA". It matches the Rfam family "Bacterial small subunit ribosomal RNA", at positions 524 to 776 of the family's 1533-position model. The record is from RNAcentral.
UACAGAGGGUGCAAGCGUUGUUCGGAAUUAUUGGGCGUAAAGCGCGUGUAGGCGGCUUUGCAAGUCGGGUGUGAAAGCCCUCAGCUUAACUGAGGAGGUGCGCCCGAAACUGCAGAGCUUGAGUACCGGAGAGGGUGGCGGAAUUCCCCAAGUAGAGGUGAAAUUCGUAGAUAUGGGGAGGAACACCGGUGGCGAAGGCGGCCACCUGGACGGAUACUGACGCUGAGACGCGAAAGCGUGGGUAGCAAACAGG